CAAUCGGCUCUUUUCAGAGCCAUAAAAGAUUCCAACGAAAGAAUGU
Molecule: non-coding RNA, 46 nt
Organism: Dufourea novaeangliae
Lineage: Eukaryota; Metazoa; Arthropoda; Insecta; Hymenoptera; Halictidae
Source: Rfam